RNAcentral lists this ribosomal RNA (497 nucleotides) under uncultured bacterium. RNAcentral's name for it is "partial 16S ribosomal RNA". It matches the Rfam family "Bacterial small subunit ribosomal RNA", at positions 28 to 507 of the family's 1533-position model. The record is from RNAcentral.
GAUGAACGCUGGCGGCGUGCCUAAUACAUGCAAGUCGAGCGAACAGACGAGGAGCUUGCUCCUCUGACGUUAGCGGCGGACGGGUGAGUAACACGUGGAUAACCUACCUAUAAGACUGGGAUAACUUCGGGAAACCGGAGCUAAUACCGGAUAAUAUAUUGAACCGCAUGGUUCAAUAGUGAAAGACGGUUUUGCUGUCACUUAUAGAUGGAUCCGCGCCGCAUUAGCUAGUUGGUAAGGUAACGGCUUACCAAGGCAACGAUGCGUAGCCGACCUGAGAGGGUGAUCGGCCACACUGGAACUGAGACACGGUCCAGACUCCUACGGGAGGCAGCAGUAGGGAAUCUUCCGCAAUGGGCGAAAGCCUGACGGAGCAACGCCGCGUGAGUGAUGAAGGUCUUCGGAUCGUAAAACUCUGUUAUUAGGGAAGAACAAAUGUGUAAGUAACUAUGCACGCCUUGACGGUACCUAAUCAGAAAGCCACGGCUAACUCCGUG